AGUGAACGCUGGCGGUAGGCCUAACACAUGCAAGUCGAACGGCAGCACAGUAAGAGCUUGCUCUUACGGGUGGCGAGUGGCGGACGGGUGAGGAAUACAUCGGAAUCUACUUUUUCGUGGGGGAUAACGUAGGGAAACUUACGCUAAUACCGCAUACGACCUACGGGUGAAAGCAGGGGAUCUUCGGACCUUGCGCGAUUGAAUAAGCCGAUGUCGGAUUAGCUAGUUGGCGGGGUAAAGGCCCACCAAGGCGACGAUCCGUAGCUGGUCUGAGAGGAUGAUCAGCCACACUGGAACUGAGACACGGUCCAGACUCCUACGGGAGGCAGCAGUGGGGAAUAUUGGACAAUGGGCGCAAGCAUGAUCCAGCCAUACCGCGUGGGUGAAGAAGGCCUUCGGGUUGUAAAGCCCUUUUGUUGGGAAAGAAAAGCAGCAGGUUAAUACCCCGCUGUUCUGACGGUACCCAAAGAAUAAGCACCGGCUAACUUCGUG
RNAcentral lists this ribosomal RNA (492 nucleotides) under uncultured bacterium. RNAcentral describes it as "partial 16S ribosomal RNA". It matches the Rfam family "Bacterial small subunit ribosomal RNA", at positions 29 to 507 of the family's 1533-position model. The record is from RNAcentral.